RNA transcript from Oncorhynchus kisutch (coho salmon), 5341 nucleotides. It is a transcript of the gene named gastrula zinc finger protein XlCGF17.1-like, with no coding region annotated. Lineage: Eukaryota; Metazoa; Chordata; Actinopteri; Salmoniformes; Salmonidae. The transcript is spliced from 5 exons. The record is from RefSeq and is a predicted model, not a curated record.
CAUCCAUAAUUUAAAAAUAAAGUAUUUUGUAUUUGGUGAGUCCGCCAAAUUAGACACAGUAGGGAUGCGUGAACUGAACAAUUUCUGCUGAUCAUUCAAAAUGUAACGAGAACUUUUGGGUGUCAGGGAAAAUGUAUGGAGUUGAAAGUACAUUAUUUUCUUUAGGAAUGUAGUGGUGUAGAAGUGGAAGUUGUCAAAUAUCAAAAGUAAAGUACAGCUACCCCCAAAAACUACUGAUGGAGCACUUAAUUAUAUAUACUUAAGUACUUUACACCACUAAUUGCAGAGAAUACUGACUGAAGAUGUUCUUCCCUACGAGGCCCAUGAGACUGUGUAGGGAUGUGAUUUGAAUAGGACUGUGACUGAACGAGUGGGAUGUUGUUAUUUAUCUAUUUUUGUAUUUUGUUUUGAGGUCGUUGUUCCCCCUCCCCUUUUCCGUAAAGGAAAUGUAUUUUCUUCUACAGUUUAUUAACCUUACAGUAGGUGGCGGCAGACGCCUUAUAUUUGUGUAUAUGUCAGUAUACCAGAGAACAAGAUGACGCUGAUGCGCCGUCGUAGUGGGGAACAGGAAGUUCCGGGUGAAACGACAGAACUGUGCUGUUGUGUCGAUAGUGGUUGUGUCCGUUUCAAAUGUAUCAUUGUAGACCGACUCAGAUUAAGUCUGAGGCUGUUAACAUCAACAGUGAAGACAAACCAAUCAUGUCACUCUCCUUCCACACUGAGUCCAAACCUACAGUCACUGGGUCCUUAUUGUGACAGUGAGCCCAGUUUGCACUGCAGGAUCCAGAGAUGGCAUCAGUGAAGCUGGAAGACUGCAGUCAAACACUGGAGCUGAAUUACAACAUUAAAGAUGAAGAAGAGGAGGAGAACAUUAGGAAAACUGUUAGUCAUGGAGACCAUGUUGAGACAUUCUCCACAUCCAGAGAGCAAGAGCAGGAAGAUCAGAGAGCCACGAGGUCUCAUCACUGCCCACAUUGUGAAGAGAUAUUCCCAUUUCUAUCAAAGCUAAAAAUACACCUACAAAUACACACAGGAGAGAAGCCUUACUCCUGCUCUGAAUGUGGAAAAUGUUUUAAAACAUCAAAUGUGCUAAAGGUUCAUCAGAGAACACACACAGGAGAGAAGCCUUUCUUCUGCCCUGACUGUGGAACUAGUUUCUCUCAACUUUCCCACUUAAAAGCACAUGAACGUAUACAUACAGGGGAGAAGCCAUACUCCUGCUCUGACUGUGGGAAAUGUUUUAAAACAUCAAAUGUGCUAAAGGUUCAUCAGAGAACACACACAGGAGAGAAGCCUUUCUUCUGCCCUGACUGUGGAACUAGUUUCUCUCAAAUUUCCCACUUAAAAGCACAUGAACGUAUACAUACAGGUGAAAAGCCUUAUGUCUGCUCUGAUUGUGGGGCGAGUUUCUCUCAUCUGGGCACCUUAAAAACACACCAACGUAUACAUACAGGGGAGAAGCCUUACUCCUGCUCUGACUGUGGAAAAUGCUUCACAACGUCAACUGAUCUAAAAGUUCAUCAGAGAACACACACCGGAGAGAAGCCUUACUCCUGCUCUGACUGUGGAAAAUGUUUUAAAACAUCAAAAGAGCUAAAGGUUCACCAGAGAACACACACAGGAGAGAAGCCUUAUUCCUGCUCUGACUGUGGAAAAUGUUUUAAAACAUCAAAUAAGCUUAAAGUUCAUCAGAGAACACACACAGGAGAGAAGCCUUACGUCUGCUCUGACUGUGGAACUAGUUUCUCGCAACUUUCCAACUUAAGAUCACAUGAACGUAUACACACAGGGGAGAAGCCAUACUCCUGCUCUGACUGUGGAAAAUGCUUCAAAACAUCUACUAAGCUAAAAGUUCAUCAGAGAAUGCGUGCAGGAGAAAAGUCUUACUCCUGUUCUGACUGUGGGGUGGACUCCAAUCAAGUUGUAGAAACAUCUCAAGGAUGAUCAAUGGAAACAGGAUGCACUUGAGCUGAAUUUUGAGUCUCAGAGGAAAGGGUCUGUGUCACGAAUAUUACCGAAGGUGGCUCCCCUUCUUGUUCGGGUGGCGCUCGGCGGUCGUCGUCGCCGGUCUACUAGCUGCCACCGAUCCUUUGUUCCGUGUUCGUUUGGUUGUGUCUAAUUGGUUUCACCUGUUCAUUGUUUGGUUGUUAGGGUGGGGUUAUUUAAGUUCGUGUCGCUCGCUUCUGUUUGUGCGGGCUUGUUCUUCUGUACUUGUGAGAGGUGUUAGUGUUUUGUUGGGUUUUCUCGCUGUCCUGGUAUUUUACCAAAGGGUACUAUUUUGUUUUUAUAGUUACGCCUGUGUUGGGUAUAACUAUUUUGUUCCUUUGAUUUUGGACAUUAAAGCGUGUUUUUCCCUGCAUCCCGCUCUCUGCGCCUGACUCCACACCCAUUCACUCAUUGAGCGUUACAGUCUGAAUAUUUAUGCAAAUAAGGUAUUCAUUUGUAUAAAUUUAUGUGUAUAUUGAUGAGGGGUAAAACAUGCAUUUAAUGAAUUUUUGUAUAAGCCUGUAAUGUAACAAUAUGUGGAAAAAGUCAAGGGGUCUUGUAUAAUGCCCUGUAUAUGCUUCAAACUACAAUUUAAGGAUCUGAAGUGGUAAACACAAUGGCAUAAUGGAAAAUGCAUGUCCAACGGUUAUCUCUGUAUGAGUCACAUUAAAACACUAGGUAGGGCAGUGGUUAUCUGUAUUAGUAUUAUCUCUGUAUUACCCACAUUAAAACACCUAGGUAGAGCAGUGGUUAUCUCUGUAUUAGUAUUAUCUCUGUAUUACCCACAUUAAAACACCUAGGUAGAGCAGUGGUUCUCUCGGUAUUAGUAUUAUCUCUGUAUUACCCACAUUAAAACACCUAGGUAGAAUAGAAAGGACAGAGCAUGUAUCUUUGUAACACACAGGUGUUUCAUCUCCACACUGGGAUGAUUUUAACAGUGCAACGCCUCUCAGGCCUCAUGCCUCUCAGGUAGGAGGGUACCAGAAGUAAAAUAAUAAUAAACACAAAACUAAUGAAGGAGCACACAGUCACCAACAAUAUAUCCCUGUUGUCAAUACUUUCAACUGGCUCAGCUCGCUGUUACAGUACAGCACCACCAAAUUCCAUGUAUUAAUAAGUAACCAUCUGUCUUUUGUAACCAGAAAAACGUAACAUAAUACUGUUUUGAGAGUCCCUGAUUUAUAUUUACUAUGUUACACCUAGUCUAUGAGACGAGGCUACACCUUAACCUACAUUAUAAACAGCAGGUCAAGGUGUGUUUUCCCUUCAGCAUCUGCAUGUGGCAUAAGCUCACCCACCUCACAGCAUGAAUCUAAAAUGGUUAACCUUGGCUGUGAGUGAUGGGAAAAAAUCUGACUACGGCAAUUACUUGAAUAAUUCAAUGGAUGUUUUGUUUACAGACUUGAUGAGUAAAUUGUCUUGUUUAAAAAAAAACGUGACUUCGCAAUGGGGCCAUCAAUAGGAAUUGGGCCGUGCUUCAGCCGAACUGCAGUACGGAAAAUGCCCUCUGAGCACAGUGGAAAGCAUGCUUACAGACUGGAAGCCUGGCCCCAUGAUCCGUAAGAGGUGUAAUUGCAGACCGCAAUUAGGGGCGUUCUCUGAUAUCGGGUGUUUCAUGAUAUCUACUUUACACCAAUUGAUGCUCCCCAUUGGUCCGUGGCCGUUUCUUUUGCGUUGGGACAACAGUUGUUGACAUCUGUUACAUUGUAGCUAACCCUAAUCCUAGUCUCCUAACCUGCCACGGUAAUUCACCUAACCUGCCACGUUAAUUAUCCUAACCUGCAUGGUAAACAAAUACCUAACCCUCACCCUUUUCCUAACCUUAACCUCAGUCUCCUAACCUGCCACGGUAAUUCACCUAACCUGCAACGUUAAUUAUCCUAACCUGUAAGGGGCACACUCCAACAUUCAGACAUAGCCUGCGUUCCUAAAUUCGCUCUGGCUAUAUACUCCGAUUUCAGACCACUCUGGUCUGAGUGCCAGAGGGAAGAAUAAUUGAUGAAAAACAAACGCUCAACACCCCUUGAAUAUGGCCGGUGUCAGUAAACGUCGGCAAAAAAAGCGUAAUUAAAUUGUUGCCUGUAGCACAGCACUGGAUAACAUGAACACAGCCUAACCAGUUCUGCUAAGGCGAGUGAAAUGGUCAGAGUUCUCUCAUUUGUACUGAAAGUAGCUAGCAAGCUAGCCAAUGUUAACCAGUUAUCUUGGAUGCUUGUAUUUAGGAAUGUAGUGGAGAAAAAGUGGAAGUUGUCAAAACAUAUCAAAAGUAAAGUACAGAUACCCCAAAACUGCAUACAUUUUCCCUGACACCCAAAAGUACUUAAAAUAUUUGUACUUAAGUACUUUACAUCACUGAUUGCGGGGAAUACUGACUGAAGAUGUUCCUCCCUACGAGGCCCAUGAGACUGUAUAGGGAUGUGAUUUGAAUAGGACUGUGACUGAACGAGUGGGGUGUUGUUAUUUAUCAAUUUAUGUAUUUGGUUUUGAUGUCGUUGUUCCCCCUCCCCUUUUCCGCAAAGGAAAUGUAUUUUCUUCUACAGUUCACUAACCUUACAGUAGGUGGCGGCAGACAGGUUAUAUUUGUGUAAAUGUCAGUAUACCAGAGAUGAAGAUGACGCUGUUGCAUUGUCGAGGUGGGGAACAGGAAGUUCCGGGUCGAAUCGACAGAACGGUGCUGUUGUGUCGAUAGUGGUUGUGUCCGUUUCAAAUGUAUCAUUGUAGACCGACUCAGAUUAACUCUGAGGCCGUUAACAUCAAUAGUGAGGACAAACCCAGCCUGUCACUCUCCUUCCACACUGAGUCCAAACCUACAGUCACUGGGUCCUGAUUGUGACAGUGGAGCCCAGUUUGCACUGCAGGAUCCAGAGAUGGCAUCAGUGAAGCUGGAAGACUGCAGUCAAACACUGGAGCUGAAUGUAAACAUUAAAGAUGACGAAGAGGAGGAGAAGAUUAGGACAACUGUUAGUCAUGGUAAGAGCUGUUUCUAUCUAUAAGUUAUCUUCAUAUAUUAGACCUCCAUAAGUUAUGACCAGUCUAUUGCUAGGUUGAAUUCUGUAAUUCUGACAUCACACAUCCCUGAACAACUCAAGACUUCACAGUGAAGCAAAAACACUUUAAACUUGUAACGCAUGCCUUUGCCCACACAUUGUCUCAAGAACGUUGAAAAUGUUUAAUACCCUCAAUCACCAAGUUAGGCAUACCUCAUUUCAAAAUAGGCCAUGGCAUCAUCACUGUCAAUAUUGAAUUAUGAUUUGUUUGCUGCACAGAAUAUCAGAUCUCAACAACGAUUGGAGAAGUGUUGAACAUAACCAGUAGACUACCACAUCCUGAUGAUUUAUAUCUGAUACAUAUAUAU